UACGAGGGGUGCAAGCGUUAUUCGGAUUUACUGGGCGUAAAGGGUGUGUAGACGGUUUGCUAAGUCUGUUGUUAAAUACUCCGGCUUAACUGGAGAUCAGCAGUGGAAACUAGCAGGCUAGAGGUUGGGAGAGAGAAGUGGAAUUCCCGGAGUAGCGGUAAAAUGCGUAGAUCUCGGGAGGAACACCGAUGGCGAAGGCAGCUUCUUGGCCCAUACCUGACGUUGAGACACGAAAGCGUGGGGAGCAAACAGG
Molecule: ribosomal RNA, 253 nt
Filed under: uncultured bacterium
Lineage: Bacteria
Description: partial 16S ribosomal RNA
Rfam family: Bacterial small subunit ribosomal RNA
Source: RNAcentral